GAUGAACGCUGACGGCGUGCCUAAUACAUGCAAGUCGAGCGAACGGACGAGAAGCUUGCUUCUCUGAUGUUAGCGGCGGACGGGUGAGUAACACGUGGAUAACCUACCUAUAAGACUGGGAUAACUUCGGGAAACCGGAGCUAAUACCGGAUAAUAUUUUGAACCGCAUGGUUCAAAAGUGAAAGACGGUCUUGCUGUCACUUAUAGAUGGAUCCGCGCUGCAUUAGCUAGUUGGUAAGGUAACGGCUUACCAAGGCAACGAUGCAUAGCCGACCUGAGAGGGUGAUCGGCCACACUGGAACUGAGACACGGUCCAGACUCCUACGGGAGGCAGCAGUAGGGAAUCUUCCGCAAUGGGCGAAAGCCUGACGGAGCAACGCCGCGUGAGUGAUGAAGGUCUUCGGAUCGUAAAACUCUGUUAUUAGGGAAGAGCAUAUGUGUAAGUAACUGUGCACAUCUUGACGGUACCUAAUCAGAAAGCCACGGCUAACUACGUG
This 497-nucleotide ribosomal RNA is filed under the name uncultured bacterium. Its description in RNAcentral is "partial 16S ribosomal RNA". It matches the Rfam family "Bacterial small subunit ribosomal RNA", at positions 28 to 507 of the family's 1533-position model. The record is from RNAcentral.